This 222-nucleotide ribosomal RNA is filed under the name Streptococcus agalactiae CCUG 37736. RNAcentral describes it as "partial 16S ribosomal RNA". It matches the Rfam family "Bacterial small subunit ribosomal RNA", at positions 1 to 218 of the family's 1533-position model. Lineage: Bacteria; Bacillati; Bacillota; Bacilli; Lactobacillales; Streptococcaceae. The record is from RNAcentral.
UUUAAUGAGAGUUUGAUCCUGGCUCAGGACGAACGCUGGCGGCGUGCCUAAUACAUGCAAGUAGAACGCUGAGGUUUGGUGUUUACACUAGACUGAUGAGUUGCGAACGGGUGAGUAACGCGUAGGUAACCUGCCUCAUAGCGGGGGAUAACUAUUGGAAACGAUAGCUAAUACCGCAUAAGAGUAAUUAACACAUGUUAGUUAUUUAAAAGGAGCAAUUGC